RNAcentral lists this ribosomal RNA (440 nucleotides) under uncultured bacterium. RNAcentral describes it as "partial 16S ribosomal RNA". It matches the Rfam family "Bacterial small subunit ribosomal RNA", at positions 338 to 795 of the family's 1533-position model. The record is from RNAcentral.
CCUACGGGUGGCAGCAGUGGGGAAUAUUGGACAAUGGGGGAAACCCUGAUCCAGCGACGCCGCGUGUGUGAAGAAGUAUUUCGGUACGUAAAGCUCUAUCAGCAGGAAAGAAAAUGACGGUACCUGACUAAGAAGCCACGGCUAACUACGUGCCAGUAGCCGCGGUAAUACGGAGGGGGCAAGCGUUAUGCGGAUUUACUGGGUGUAAAGGGAUCGUAGACGGUAGCGCAAGUCUGGAGUGAAAUGCCGGGGCCCAACCCCGGAACUGCUCUGGAUACUGGGAAGCUGGAGUGCAGGAGAGGGAAGUGGAAUUCCUGGUGUAGCGGUGAAAUGCGUAGAGAUCAGGAGGAACACCGGCGGCGAAGGCGGCUUACUGGACUGUAACUGACGUUGAGGUUCGAAGGCGUGGGGAGCAAACAGGAUUAGAUACCCUUGUAGUC